GACGAACCGAGCGAACGUUAUUCGGAAUCACUGGGCUUAAAGGGCGCGUAGGCGGGCGGCCAAGUCAGGGGUGAAAGCCCCCAGCUCAACUGGGGAAGUCCCUCUGAUACUGGUCAUCUCGAGGGAGAUAGGGGCGUGCGGAACUUCCGGUGGAGCGGUGAAAUGCGUAGAUAUCGGAAGGAACACCGGUGGCGAAAGCGGCGCGCUGGAUCUCUUCUGACGCUGAGGCGCGAAAGCCAGGGGAGCGAACGGG
This 253-nucleotide ribosomal RNA is filed under the name uncultured bacterium. Its description in RNAcentral is "partial 16S ribosomal RNA". It matches the Rfam family "Bacterial small subunit ribosomal RNA", at positions 524 to 776 of the family's 1533-position model. The record is from RNAcentral.